RNAcentral lists this ribosomal RNA (468 nucleotides) under uncultured bacterium. RNAcentral describes it as "partial 16S ribosomal RNA". It matches the Rfam family "Bacterial small subunit ribosomal RNA", at positions 28 to 507 of the family's 1533-position model. The record is from RNAcentral.
GACGAACGCUGGCGGCGUGCUUAACACAUGCAAGUCGAACGGAAAGGCCCUGCUUUUUUGGGGUGCUCGCGUGGCGAACGGGUGAGUAACCCGUGAGUAACCUGCCCUUGACUUUGGGAUAACUUCAGGAAACUGGGGCUAAUACCGGAUAGGAGCUCCUGCUGCAUGGUGGGGGUUGGAAAGUUUCGGCGGUUGGGGAUGGACUCGCGGCUUAUCAGCUUGUUGGUGGGGUAGUGGCUUACCAAGGCUUUGACGGGUAGCCGGCCUGAGAGGGUGACCGGCCACAUUGGGACUGAGAUACGGCCCAGACUCCUACGGGAGGCAGCAGGGGGGAAUAUUGCACAAUGGGCGGAAGCCUGAUGCAGCAACGCCGCGUGCGGGAUGACGGCCUUCGGGUGGGAAACCGCUUUCGCCUGUGACGAAGCGUGAGUGACGGUAAUGGGUAAAGAAGCACCGGCUAACUACGUG